AUACUUACCUGGCAAAGGAGACACGUGAUCAAGAAGGCAGUUCACCCAGGGCGAGCUCAGCCAUUGCACUCCAUUCCAUGUGCUGACCCCUCUUGAAUUUCUCAAAUGUGGAAAUCUCGAUUAUAAUUUAUGGUAGUGGGGACUGCGUUGCUCCCCG
Molecule: small nuclear RNA, 157 nt
Organism: Oncorhynchus nerka (sockeye salmon)
Lineage: Eukaryota; Metazoa; Chordata; Actinopteri; Salmoniformes; Salmonidae
Product: U1 spliceosomal RNA
Exons: 1
Source: RefSeq, a predicted model, not a curated record